This 1060-nucleotide ribosomal RNA is filed under the name Siminovitchia acidinfaciens. Its description in RNAcentral is "bacterial LSU rRNA". It matches the Rfam family "Bacterial large subunit ribosomal RNA", at positions 1450 to 2513 of the family's 2925-position model. The record is from RNAcentral. Lineage: Bacteria; Bacillati; Bacillota; Bacilli; Caryophanales; Bacillaceae.
GUUUGAGUGAAGGGGGGACGCAGGAGGAUAGGGUAAGCGCGCUGGUGGAUUAGCGCGUCCAAGCAGUUAGGCUGGCAAGUAGGCAAAUCCGCUUGCCAUAAGGCUGAGCUGUGAUGGCGAGGGAAAUUUAGUACCGAAGUUCCUGAUUCCACACUGCCAAGAAAAGCCUCUAGCGAGGAAACAGGCGCCCGUACCGCAAACCGACACAGGUAGGCGAGGAGAGAAUCCUAAGGUGAUCGAGAGAACUCUCGUUAAGGAACUCGGCAAAAUGACCCCGUAACUUCGGGAGAAGGGGUGCUCUUUGGGGUGCAAGCCCUGAGGAGCCGCAGUGAAUAGGCCCAGGCGACUGUUUAGCAAAAACACAGGUCUCUGCGAAGCCGCAAGGCGAAGUAUAGGGGCUGACGCCUGCCCGGUGCUGGAAGGUUAAGAGGAGGGCUUAGCGCAAGCGAAGGUCCGAAUUGAAGCCCCAGUAAACGGCGGCCGUAACUAUAACGGUCCUAAGGUAGCGAAAUUCCUUGUCGGGUAAGUUCCGACCCGCACGAAAGGCGCAACGAUCUGGGCACUGUCUCAACGAGAGACUCGGUGAAAUUAUACUAUGCGUGAAGAUGCGCAUUACCCGCGACAGGACGGAAAGACCCCGUGGAGCUUUACUGCACCCUGAUAUUGACUGUCUGUGCAGCUUGUACAGGAUAGGUAGGAGCCUUGGAAACCGGAGCGCCAGCUUCGGUGGAGGCAACGGUGGGAUACUACCCUGGCUGUAUGGACCGUCUAACCCGCACCCGUGAUCCGGGUGGGAGACAGUGUCAGGCAGGCAGUUUGACUGGGGCGGUCGCCUCCUAAAGAGUAACGGAGGCGCCCAAAGGUUCCCUCAGAAUGGUUGGAAAUCAUUCGCAGAGUGCAAAGGCAUAAGGGAGCUUGACUGCGAGACCUACAAGUCGAGCAGGGACGAAAGUCGGGCUUAGUGAUCCGGUGGUUCCGCAUGGAAGGGCCAUCGCUCAACGGAUAAAAGCUACCCCGGGGAUAACAGGCUUAUCUCCCCCAAGAGUUCACAUCGACGGGG